CACCACUCAAGCCUCGCUUGGUAUUGGGCGACGCGGUCCGCCGCGCGCCUUAAAUCGACCGGCUGGGUCGAUCGCACCCUCAGCGUUGUGGAAACUAUUCGCUAAAGGAGUCGCGGUCGGUCACGCCGUGAAACAAACCAAUUUUUCAAU
RNAcentral lists this unclassified non-coding RNA (150 nucleotides) under uncultured Toxicocladosporium. Its description in RNAcentral is "sequence contains ITS2". The record is from RNAcentral. Lineage: Eukaryota; Fungi; Ascomycota; Dothideomycetes; Capnodiales.